Molecule: long non-coding RNA, 562 nt
Organism: Raphanus sativus (radish)
Lineage: Eukaryota; Viridiplantae; Streptophyta; Magnoliopsida; Brassicales; Brassicaceae
Exons: 2
Source: RefSeq, a predicted model, not a curated record
UCUUCAAAGCUUUAUAACUAAUACAUGUCUUAUACUAUGCAAUUGUCUUACCUUUUCGACGUGAAGCCAUUCAAAAUCUGCUGGUGCAUCCAUGUGAAUAUCAUCCACACCUAGAAACAAUUCAAUCCAAAAUUUGGUGAAUCACUAGAAAUCAUCUUAGCAACAAAAAGCGUGUAAAAUCUCUUGCAACCUGUAGGCAAAACAAUUUGAAGCGGCUGGGCAGCGUUGCCGUGUUAGACAAUGGAAGAUAAUAGAGAAUUUCUCUUCGAGUCAAGCAACUGGAUUAUACAGACCAAACAAUCAUGUGUACCAAAUGUCUUUCAUAGCACGCCCCUCCGUUGAUUCCAUGUAAAAGUGUAAUUAGCGAUGCAUGUUUUUUCAUUGAUUGAGUUUGAAAGUAUUACGAGUGGAACUUUAAAGAUAUGUUUCUUAAUUGGUAAGAAAGUAUAUAUGUAAUUUUAUUUUGGGGGAGGGGUGGAGUGUUUAAUUUGUUUUACUUCGUUUCUUGGUAUGAAUGUUGUUUCUAAAGUGAAAAAAAUAUUUUGGUUUUUUAAAGCGUUAA